This 496-nucleotide ribosomal RNA is filed under the name uncultured bacterium. RNAcentral describes it as "partial 16S ribosomal RNA". It matches the Rfam family "Bacterial small subunit ribosomal RNA", at positions 30 to 523 of the family's 1533-position model. The record is from RNAcentral.
AUUGAACGCUGGCGGAAUGCUUUACACAUGCAAGUCGAACGGUAGAGGGGGCAACCCCUCGAGAGUGGCGAACGGGUGAGUAAUAUAUCGGAACGUGCCCAGUCGUGGGGGAUAACGUAGCGAAAGUUACGCUAAUACCGCAUACGAUCUAAGGAUGAACGCGGGGGAUCGCAAGACCUCGCGCGAUUGGAGCGGCCGAUAUCAGAUUAGGUAGUUGGUGGGGUAAAGGCCCACCAAGCCAACGAUCUGUAGCUGUUCUGAGAGGACGACCAGCCACACUGGAACUGAGACACGGUCCAGACUCCGACGGUAGGCAGCGGUGGGGAAUUUUGGACAAUGGGCGAAAGCCUGAUCCAGCCAUUCCGCGUGCAGGAUGAAGGCCCUCGGGUUGUAGACUGCUUUUGUACAGAGCGAAAAGGUUUCUACUAAUACUAGGAGCUCAUGACGGUACUGUAAGAAUAAGCACCGGCUAACUACGUGCCAGCCGCCGCAGUAA